Molecule: ribosomal RNA, 492 nt
Filed under: uncultured bacterium
Lineage: Bacteria
Description: partial 16S ribosomal RNA
Rfam family: Bacterial small subunit ribosomal RNA
Source: RNAcentral
AGUGAACGCUGGCGGUAGGCCUAACACAUGCAAGUCGAACGGCAGCACAGUAAGAGCUUGCUCUUACGGGUGGCGAGUGGCGGACGGGUGAGGAAUACAUCGGAAUCUACUUUUUCGUGGGGGAUAACGUAGGGAAACUUACGCUAAUACCGCAUACGACCUACGGGUGAAAGCAGCGGAUCUUCGGACCUUGCGCGAUUGAAUGAGCCGAUGUCGGAUUAGCUAGUUGGCGGGGUAAAGGCCCACCAAGGCGACGAUCCGUAGCUGGUCUGAGAGGAUGAUCAGCCACACUGGAACUGAGACACGGUCCAGACUCCUACGGGAGGCAGCAGUGGGGAAUAUUGGGCAAUGGGCGCAAGCCUGAUCCAGCCAUACCGCGUGGGUGAAGAAGGCCUUCGGGUUGUAAAGCCCUUUUGUUGGGAAAGAAAAGCAGCAGGUUAAUACCCCGCUGUUCUGACGGUACCCAAAGAAUAAGCACCGGCUAACUUCGUG